This 334-nucleotide ribosomal RNA is filed under the name uncultured bacterium. Its description in RNAcentral is "bacterial SSU rRNA". It matches the Rfam family "Bacterial small subunit ribosomal RNA", at positions 194 to 507 of the family's 1533-position model. The record is from RNAcentral.
UGAGCAAGGAAAGCGAGGGGAUCGCAAGACCUUGCGCUGAUUGAGCGGCCGAUAUCAGAUUAGCUAGUUGGUGAGGUAAAGGCUCACCAAGGCGACGAUCUGUAGCGGGUCUGAGAGGAUGAUCCGCCACACUGGAACUGAGACACGGUCCAGACUCCUACGGGAGGCAGCAGUGGGGAAUUUUUGGACAAUGGGCGCAAGCCUGAUCCAGCCAUGCCGCGUGAGUGAAGAAGGCCUUCGGGUUGUAAAGCUCUUUCGGCCGGGAAGAAAUCGCACAGGUUAAUACCCUGUGUGGAUGACGGUACCGGAAUAAGAAGCACCGGCUAACUACGUG